AUGGAGAUGAAGCUGACGAUUAAGAGGGUUCCGACGGUGCUGUCCAACUACCAGGAAGAAGGAGGCGGGGGCUGCGGCAGGAACUGCCUCGGGGAUUGCUGCUUGCCUGCUUCCAAGCUCCCCCUCUAUGCUUUCAAGGCCGACCCAAAGAAGCCUGCGCAGGAUGAUGAGCUCCCUACCGAGUUCUUCCUAAAUUCUCUCCUCCUUGCACAGUGGGAGGACAGGGUGGCCCGAGGCCUAUUCAGAUAUGACGUAACAGCCUGCGAGACCAAGGUGAUUCCUGGCGAGCUUGGGUUUGUUGCACAGCUUAACGAAGGCCGCCACCUCAAGAAGCGCCCGACCGAGUUCCGUGUUGACCGUGUGCUCCAGCCAUUCGAUUCUGCCAAGUUCAACUUCACCAAGGUUGGCCAGGAGGAGGUUCUCUUUCGCUUUGAGAAAGGUGGUGGCGACAGCAGCUAUUUCCUUGAAAAUGCCCCAAGCACUGAGGGUGACCAUGCUCCCAGCGUUGUUGCAAUCAAUGUGAGCCCUAUUGAGUACGGUCAUGUGCUUCUCAUUCCACGUGUCCUUGACCGCCUGCCUCAGCAAAUUGAUCCUGAAAGCUUCCUGCUUGCACUACACAUGGCAGCUGAGGCUGCAAGCCCAUACUUUAGGCUUGGUUACAACAGCUUGGGUGCCUUUGCCACCAUCAAUCAUCUCCACUUCCAGGCAUACUACCUGUCAGUACCUUUUCCUGUUGAGAAGGCGCCUACCAAGAAGAUCCCCCUUGCCAAGUGUGCGCUGAAUAGUGGAGUGAAGGUGUCAAAACUGACAAAUUUCCCCGUGAGAGGUCUGGUGUUUGAGAGAGGGAACACACUGAAGGAUUUGGCUGAUGUGGUUACCAACGCUUGCAUUUGGCUCCAGGAGAACAAUGUUCCUUUCAACGUCCUCAUCUCUGAUUCCGGUAGAAGGAUCUUCGUUUUUCCUCAGUGCUAUGCCGAGAAGCAGGCUCUCGGUGAAGUGAGCCAGGAUCUGCUAGACACGCAGGUGAACCCUGCAGUAUGGGAGAUCAGUGGCCACAUUGUUCUGAAACGGAGGACGGACUUCGAGGAGGCUUCAGAAGCAUCAGCCUGGAGGCUUCUCGCUGAGGUGUCUCUGUCGGAGGAGCGAUUUGAGGAGGUGAAGGCAUGUAUCUUUGAGGCCACCGGCCUCACUGAAUCUGACGAGGAAGAGGAAUCCAGUGAGUCUCCUUAUGCAUCGUCAUCCUCCGUCCCACGAGCCUCUUCACACAUGUCGGAAGGUUGCCUUGUCCUUCAGUGA
This 1296-nucleotide ribosomal RNA is filed under the name Triticum aestivum (bread wheat). RNAcentral's name for it is "partial small subunit ribosomal RNA". Lineage: Eukaryota; Viridiplantae; Streptophyta; Magnoliopsida; Poales; Poaceae. The record is from RNAcentral.